Molecule: ribosomal RNA, 465 nt
Filed under: uncultured bacterium
Lineage: Bacteria
Description: partial 16S ribosomal RNA
Rfam family: Bacterial small subunit ribosomal RNA
Source: RNAcentral
CCUACGGGCGGCAGCAGUGGGGAAUAUUGCGCAAUGGGCGAAAGCCUGACGCAGCGACGCCGCGUGAGGGAUGAAGGUCUUCGGAUCGUAAACCUCUGUCAGCAGGGAAGAACGGUCACUGUGCUAAUCAGCAGUGAAUUGACGGUACCUGCAAAGGAAGCACCGGCUAACUCCGUGCCAGCAGCCGCGGUAAUACGGAGGGUGCGAGCGUUAAUCGGAAUUAAUGGGCGUAAAGCGCUCGUAGGCGGUAUGUCAAGUCAGGGGUGAAAUCCCCGCGCUCAACGUGGGAACUGCCUUUGAAACUGGGGAACUGGAGUGUGGGAGAGGUAAGCGGAAUUCCAGGUGUAGGGGUGAAAUGCGUAGAUAUCUGGAAGAACAUCAGUGGCGAAGGCAGCUAACUGGCACAUAACUGACGCUGAGGAGCGAAAGCGUGGGUAGCAAACAGGAUUAGAUACCCCGGUAGUC